UCGGGCAGGCGCGGAACGCCCGGUGAGACGGGCCCCCGUCCAAGCUUCCGC
Novosphingobium sp. Leaf2 is the source of this 51-nucleotide regulatory RNA element. It matches the Rfam family "chrB-b RNA". The record is from Rfam. NCBI's taxonomy places the organism in Bacteria, Pseudomonadati, Pseudomonadota, Alphaproteobacteria, Sphingomonadales, Sphingomonadaceae.